This is an RNA transcript of Toxorhynchites rutilus septentrionalis, 7148 nucleotides long. RefSeq lists it as uncharacterized. The transcript is spliced from 2 exons. Lineage: Eukaryota; Metazoa; Arthropoda; Insecta; Diptera; Culicidae. The record is from RefSeq and is a predicted model, not a curated record.
AAAUCCCGCGAGGGUGGCUGUGACGGGUUACGCGUCAAGUUGGAGGGCAAUUCCUAAUCGGUUCACGUCUCGACGGGUAAAAAGAAAAAAAGCGAAAUGAACAUAAGCGCAGUGAAGAACAACGAAUGGUGAAUAAAGAGUGUUGCUGCAGGGGCACUUUCACUGACGACCCUAUCUGCAACUAGAAGCACGUCUACCAACAGCGCCAAGCAGUACAUACCGUCAAACUCCAAAUGAACAAUAGAAGGUUUAGCAAGUGCUCAGAAGAGAAGAACGUGUUCUAUUAAACUUAUUGAAUUUCCCUUUGAUUACUAUUAUAUAUAGUUUGUUGCCACACUAAAAGCCAAGUACACUCAGGUUUCUACACCAAAAGAGGUACUAGUUAGUGCAGGUUAGAAAAAUGAAUUAUUUAUUUAUGCUUGAAGUAUAUUAUAUUUUCUAUAAUUACCCAGCGAACCACUGUUACCGUUAGGGUUAUAUUCAACGCGUGUCCAUUGUAUAAGAUACACAGGCACACUGUAAUGUAUGUGUUAUUCUUAUACCAUAUUUUGUGAAACUAAUUCAGGUAUUUUUAGCUUGAAGCUGAUUACCAAAUAAAUCACGGCUAUCGGAAGAACAGCGUGUUUUCCCUGACUUACACGAACAAAAACUUCAAGAUUACAAUGGACACAAGCAGGACUACCCCGAAGGCCGGCGAAUCAAACUGUUCUGGUUGUAAACGGCCCAACAGUUAUGACGAUAUGGUAGCUUGCGACGAAUGCGGAAGAUGGUGGCACUACACAUGUGCCGGAGUAACGUCGUCUGUCACAGAUCGCCGCUGGAGUUGCAUAAAGUGCUUACCAGCUCCUGCGAAAUCUACAUCGACUAGUUCGUCUGCUCGUCGCGCCCGUUUGCAGUUGGAACUGCAACAUUUAACUGAGCAGAAAGAGUUAAAACGGAAACAAAAUGACCUUGACCUAGAGAAGCAGUUUUCCCAGGAUAAAUUCCGGCUUGAAUCAGCUGCUUUGGAAGAGGAAGAAACGGAUAAUCGCAGUGUUAGAAACCAUGUAAUUGAGACUCAGGAACGGAUAAAGCACACCAGUGAGUGGGUAGAAAAAACAAUCGACCCUCAGAUAGUUGUGUCACCUUCGCCAACUAAAAUUCCGCAAGGACAACCAGAACAGACCGGGCCAACCGAACCUGUUAAUAUUUGUCAAGAAACUGCUGCGGCUACCGGCGGGUUGGACAACGCCAUCACAACUAGUCUAAAUCAGGAUGUCACCCAAACUAAAAGGAAACUUUAUGUCUCUAGAGAUAUUAAGCAGUUACCGAAUACCGGCACAUUAGAACAUUUACAAGAGCUCGAACAGCAGCUUCAACGUUGCUGGAUGCAACUUACCAAGUCAAAAUCAGAUCUUCAAUCUCACCGAAGCCCGAGUCAACCACCUGUACCUACAGUAUCAUUAGAUUCUCAGCAGCAAGCUGGUCCUUCGAGUCGUUCAACCGCAGCGCCUCUACCACCACAUCGGUCCGGUGCUCAAGCUGUUCGGAACGAGUUAAGAGAGCGAAUAACGAAUACGACUCAGAAUGUAUAUUCUAAUCGCGGACAUAAUCCGCUUUCCACUGGAGCACCAACAUACCCUCCGAUCGCUCAGAGUCUGCCAAUAGAGUGCAGCAUACAAUCACAGAUUGUCCCUGAAAAUAUUCGUCUAUCGGAACAGCCUUCCCAGAUCAGCCACCGUUCAUUCCACCUAACUCAGGAACAACUAACAGCGAGGCAAAUAACGCCCCGCGAUCUGCCAGAUUUCUCAGGUGACCCAGAGGAAUGGCCUCUGUUUUAUAGCAGUUAUAAGAACUCGACGGCCACCUGUGGAUACACAGAUACAGAAAACAUGACACGACUACAAAGAUGCUUAAAAGGAAACGCUUUGAAGUCCGUGAGGUAUUAUCUACUAGCACCGGAAAACGUUCCGGAGGUAAUGAGAACUCUGCAGACCCUAUAUGGGCGUCCUGAAAUUAUCAUAAACAAGCUGAUAAGAAAUGUACGGGAGUGUCCUACGCCCAAGGCUGAAAAGCUUGAAACCUUGAUGGAUUUUGGUUUAACCGUUAGAAAUCUAACCCAACACUUAAUCGCAACAGGACAGCGAACACAUCUAUCGAAUCCUGUGCUGCUUCAUGAGGUCGUCGAAAAACUUCCUUCAAGUUUUAAACUGCAGUGGGCAGAAAAACUCAUCGCGUGUCCAACCGCUGAUCUGAGAACUUUCAGUGAUUUUAUGUCACAUGUGGUAGAAUCAGUUAGCAAAGUGUGCUCGUACGUAGAGCAACCUUUCGUCAGGGUUGAUCGAAAUAAAAAUAGAGAAAAGGGGUAUUUCAAUGCCCACAUGGAGGACAAAAAUGAAUAUGGAAAUAUGGUAGUGUCAGAAGUUAAGAGACACUGUCUCGUCUGCGCGAGAGAUCACCGGGUCCAGGACUGUCCUAAGUUCAAAGACAGCGACAUCGAGAGCCGUUGGAAAUUUGUGCACACACUGAAGCUUUGUCGAACAUGCCUGAACCCUCACGGGCGUCGUCCUUGUCGGAACAUCAAUCGGUGUGGAAUCGACGGAUGCCAAUUUCGGCAUCAUCCAAUGUUACAUUCAUCACGCACAAGUAACGCGCUCGCCAGUAAUGCGAACCUGACAUAUCACCAUUGUGGACAAUCGGUCCUGUACCGGAUAAUACCGGUAGUAGCGUACGGCAUCACUUGUUCCGUUAAGACCUUUGCCUUUCUGGAUGAAGGGUCGUCGACGACAUUAGUAGAAUCUGGUCUCGCCCAUCAGCUUGGAUUACAGGGUCCGCAGGUACCUCUUUGCUUGCAGUGGACCGCCAACAUGUCGCGAAUUGAGAAUACGUCACAGGUGAUUUCCGUGGAUGUAUCAGAGAUCGGGAAAAAGACUCGCCACACUCUGGAGAACGCACGGACGGUAGAUCACCUCAAUCUUCCCCAGCAGACGUUGAGGGUUGAACCACUCCAAAAACAAUUUCAACAUCUAAUUGGUUUACCGGUACGCAGCUACGAAAAUGCUGUUCCACAAAUACUGAUCGGGCUUCGUGAUCUAUCUUUGGCUGUACCUUUGAAGAUCAAAGAAGGGGUAAAAGGACCAAUAGCAUCCAAGACGCGCUUAGGAUGGUGUAUCUACGGUCAUGUAGAUGGCGGACGAGACGUUGAACACCUCAAUUAUCACACGUGCGAUUGUUCAGCCAUAGUGAAGCUGGACACUAUAGUACGCGAUUAUUUCAAUCGGGAAGACACCGGUGUGACACCGCUCCAACCGCUGGAAUCCGUAGACAACCAACGGGCUAUGGACUUGCUCCAGCGAACGACGUACAAAGUUGACGGUAGAUUCUGUACGGGUCUACUCUGGAAGAAUGAUCAUUUCGAGCUUCCAGACAGUUACGGAAUGGCACUUCGGCGACUCACAUGCUUGGAGCGACGCAUGAAGCGAGAUCCAGUAGUAGGAGAAAGUAUUCACCGCCAACUCCGUGAUUAUCAAACAAAACAAUACGCCCAUCGCGCAACGAAAGAGGAACUGGAAUCCGCAGACCCUCGCCGUAUUUGGUACCUUCCUUUAGGGGCUGUGACUAAUCCUAGAAAACCAGGAAAAGUGCGCCUUAUUUGGGACGCCGCUGCUGUUGUCGAUGGUAUUUCCUUGAAUACUCUUCUGCUCCCUGGACCGGACAUGCUGACUCCUUUACACUCAGUUUUAUUUCGAUUCCGACAGUUUCCAUUUGCCGUCUCGAGUGACAUUGCCGAGAUGUUCCAUCAGAUUAAAGUGAUAGAACCCGAUCGUCAUUCUCAGCGAUUCUUGUGGCGUGAUAAUCCAGAAGAUCCACCGCAGAUUUUUCUAAUGGACGUGCUAACCUUUGGGGCCACCAGUUCACCAACAUCCGCGCAGUACGCGAAAAAUAGGAACGCUGAGGAAUUUGCAGAACGAUACCCUAGAGCGGUAGAAAGUAUUUUGAGGAGUCAUUACGUCGAUAAUUUGCUCGAUAGCUUUGUUACUGUCGAAGAAGCGAAAUCCGUCUCCAGUGAAGUGCGCUGGAUUCACUCCAAGGGAGGAUUCCACAUUCGUGAUUGGGUCUCCAAUAGCCAGGAAGUCAUCCGUUUCAUGGGCGAGGAACCGAAAGAAGAAACAAGAGACCUCAUUCAAACAAAGGGUGCCAACGCCGAACGCGUGCUGGGCAUGCUGUGGCAUCAUAGAAUUGAUACACUUACAUUUUCCGUUUCGAUUAGUGACGAAAUACAUACUCUUUUAGACACAGCUACACGCCCAACCAAGAGGCAAGUCUUGAAAUGUAUUAUGUCCCUUUUUGACCCCCUGGGGUUGCUAGCCAACUUCUUAAUCCACGGCAAGAUCCUCAUGCAAGAAAUUUGGAGAACCGGGAUAAAAUGGGACGAUCGCAUCGAUGAACACCUUUUCGAGCUAUGGAAAAGGUGGACGAGCUUGCUUGAUAGUGUGGACGGCGUUCAAAUCCCAAGAUGCUACUUUCAAGGGGCAAAUCCAUCCCUUUACGAUUCGAUCGAAGCACACGUGUUCUGCGAUGCGAGCGAAGAAGCUUAUUCAGCAGUGAUCUACUUCCGCGUAAUCAGACCAGAUGGAGUCCCACAGUGUAGACUAGUGGCAGCUAAAGCAAAGGUGGCUCCGUUAAAAUAUGUUUCUAUCCCUCGCUUAGAGCUAAUGGCUGCUGUAUUAGGUGUCCGUCUGCUGUCGUUCGUUAUCGAAGGUCACACAAUACCGAUCAUGAGCAGGUUUCUCUGGUCUGAUUCGAACACAGUGCUGGCAUGGAUUCAUUCGAAACAUCGAAAGUACAGGCAAUUCGUUGCCUGCCGCGUCGGUGAAAUAUUGACUUCAACAAACGAAAGUGAGUGGCACUGGGUACCGAGUGCGAUGAAUGUGGCUGAUGAGGCCACCAAAUGGACAAAAAGCCCACAUUUUGAUUCAACCAGCAGAUGGUUCCAAGGACCAGAUUUCCUUCUGGGAUGUAAGGAUCAAUGGCCUGUUCCGAAGAAUUGUAUCACAACCACAGACGAAGAAAUUCGCCCAUGCCAUCUUCAUCAUGUGACGGACGAAUACGUUCCAAUGAUCGUAUAUGAACGAUUUUCCCGAUGGGGCCGCAUGGUGAGGACCAUGGCUUACGUUAUGAAGUAUAUAUCCUUGAAAAAACGAGGAAUUGGGAACAGAGUUCUAAUGCAGGAAGAGAUUCGGGCAGCAGAGAUGGCGAUAUGGCGACAAGUCCAAGCUGAAGUCUAUUCGAACGAGGUGGCCAUUCUGAAGAAGAAUAAACAUCUACAGCAAAAGGAGUUACUAGCGAUACCUAAAUCCAGCGCUAUUUAUAAGUUGACUCCAGUUCUUGACAACGAAGGGAUUCUACGCAUCGAUGGUCGCAUUGGAUUGGCAAAACAGAUCACGACUGAGGUAAAAUAUCCUGUGAUCCUACCCAAGACACAUCGGGUGUCCUUCCUAAUCAUCGACGAUUACCAUCGAAAAUAUCUUCAUGCUAAUUCCGAAACCAUUGUCAACGAAGUAAGGCAACAAUAUUACAUACCGCAGCUACGCGUACUCACAAGAAAAGUGGCACGACAUUGUCAGUGGUGUAAAGUGUAUAAAGCACACCCAACUACACCGAAGAUGGCGCCACUACCCAUCGCACGGCUCUCACCUUUCAUCCGACCUUUCAGCUAUACCGGAUUAGACUACUUCGGUCCAAUACAAGUGAAAGUGUUACGAUCAACUGCUAAAAGGUACGUUGCUUUGUUCACGUGUCUUACUAUCAGGGCGGUACACGUAGAAGUGGCGUAUGAUCUUUCUACGGAGUCGUGCAUCGAAGCAAUACGUCGGUUUGUGUGUCGACGGGGGGCGCCACUCGAAAUCCAUUCCGAUAAUGGUCGAAACUUCUGCGGGGCGAACAAUGUGCUGAAAGGGCAAAUCGAACGAAUUGAAACGGAAGCAGCAUCAACAUUCACGAAUGCAUACACAAAGUGGGUGUUCAUCCCACCGUCAGCCCCCAGUAUGGGUGGUAGCUGGGAGCGUUUGGUGCGAUCGAUUAAGGUGGCGAUGGCUGGUUUCUCUCAAAACAAAAAGCUAAGUGAUGAAGGUCUCCAAACACUCGUGAUUGAAGCAGAAUCUCUCGUGAAUAGCAGGCCACUCACUUACCUGCCGUUAGAUUCAGCAGAGCAGGAAGCUUUGACGCCGAACCAUUUUCUGCUAGGCAGCAGUAGUGGUAUCAAACAACCAUCUGUUCUCAUGUUGGAUGCAGCAAAAACGGCUCGCAACUCCUGGGAUCUGAUUCAGCAGAAUCUAAAUCACUUCUGGUCUCGAUGGGUGCGAGAGUAUCUACCGACUCUUACUAGACGAACCAAGUGGUUUGGAGAUACCAAAGCAAUUGAACCUGGUAACUUAGUCAUCAUCAUAGACGAGAACAGAAGAAACGGCUGGACCAGGGGACGAAUCUUGCAGGUGAUCGUCGGUCAAGAUGGGCGCAUACGACAAGCUGUGGUGCAAACAGCAGGAGGCAUAUUCCGCCGGCCAGUGUCAAAGCUGGCGGUAUUGGACGUAAAAAGUAAUGGUAAAGCUGAGUCUGCAACUGAUCUUUACGGGAGGGGGGAUGUUGCUGCAGGGGCACUUUCACUGACGACCCUAUCUGCAACUAGAAGCACGUCUACCAACAGCGCCAAGCAGUACAUACCGUCAAACUCCAAAUGAACAAUAGAAGGUUUAGCAAGUGCUCAGAAGAGAAGAACGUGUUCUAUUAAACUUAUUGAAUUUCCCUUUGAUUACUAUUAUAUAUAGUUUGUUGCCACACUAAAAGCCAAGUACACUCAGGUUUCUACACCAAAAGAGGUACUAGUUAGUGCAGGUUAGAAAAAUGAAUUAUUUAUUUAUGCUUGAAGUAUAUUAUAUUUUCUAUAAUUACCCAGCGAACCACUGUUACCGUUAGGGUUAUAUUCAACGCGUGUCCAUUGUAUAAGAUACACAGGCACACUGUAAUCUUGAAGCUGAUUACCAAAUAAAUCACGGCUAUCGGAAGAACAGCGUGUUUUCCCUGACUUACACGAACAAAGAGUAUACAGAAAAAGGGAAGGAUCUUCGCUGGUCAGCGCUGAAGACUCGUGAAAGUGAAAGUGAAAUGGU